UGCAGUCGAGCGAACAGAUGAGAAGCUUGCUUCUCUGAUGUUAGCGGCGGACGGGUGAGUAACACGUGGGUAACCUACCUAUAAGACUGGGAUAACUCCGGGAAACCGGGGCUAAUACCUGAUAAUAUUUUGAACCGCAUGGUUCAAUAGUGAAAGACGGCUUCGGCUGUCACUUAUAGAUGGACCCGCGCCGUAUUAGCUAGUUGGUAAGGUAAUGGCUUACCAAGGCGACGAUACGUAGCCGACCUGAGAGGGUGAUCGGCCACACUGGAACUGAGACACGGUCCAGACUCCUACGGGAGGCAGCAGUAGGGAAUCUUCCGCAAUGGGCGAAAGCCUGACGGAGCAACGCCGCGUGAGUGAUGAAGGUCUUAGGAUCGUAAAACUCUGUUGUUAGGGAAGAACAAAUUUGUUAGUAACUGAACAAGUCUUGACGGUACCUAACCAGAAAGCCACGGCUAACUACGUGCCAGCAGCCGCGGUAAUACGUAGGUGGCAAGCGUUAUCCGGAAUUAUUGGGCGUAAAGCGCGCGUAGGCGGUUUCUUAAGUCUGAUGUGAAAGUCCACGGCUCAACCGUGGAAGGUCAUUGGAAACUGGGGAACUUGAGUGCAGAAGAGGAGAGUGGAAUUCCAUGUGUAGCGGUGAAAUGCGCAGAGAUAUGGAGGAACACCAGUGGCGAAGGCGGCUCUCUGGUCUGUAACUGACGCUGAUGUGCGAAAGCGUGGGGAUCAAACAGGAUUAGAUA
This 746-nucleotide ribosomal RNA is filed under the name Staphylococcus sp. qm3. Its description in RNAcentral is "bacterial SSU rRNA". It matches the Rfam family "Bacterial small subunit ribosomal RNA", at positions 56 to 784 of the family's 1533-position model. The record is from RNAcentral. Lineage: Bacteria; Bacillati; Bacillota; Bacilli; Caryophanales; Staphylococcaceae. RNAcentral also lists the same sequence under 1 other name.